RNAcentral lists this ribosomal RNA (250 nucleotides) under Chrysomya megacephala (oriental latrine fly). RNAcentral describes it as "partial 16S ribosomal RNA". Lineage: Eukaryota; Metazoa; Arthropoda; Insecta; Diptera; Calliphoridae. The record is from RNAcentral.
CAUAAAAAUUUAUAAUAGAAUUUUAUUUUUUAGUCAAAAAGCUAAAAUAUAUUUAAAAGACGAGAAGACCCUAUAAAUCUUUAUAUUUAGGUUAUUAUAAUUUUAUAGAUUUUUUUUGUUAUAAUAAUUGAUAAUAUUUUAUUGGGGUGAUAUUAAAAUUUGAUAAACUUUUAAUUGUUUAAAUCAUUAAUUUAUGAAUAAUUGAUCCGUUAUUAGCGAUUAAAAAAAUAAGUUACCUUAGGGAUAACAG